Small nuclear RNA from Pteronotus mesoamericanus, 108 nucleotides. The record is from RefSeq and is a predicted model, not a curated record. NCBI's taxonomy places the organism in Eukaryota, Metazoa, Chordata, Mammalia, Chiroptera, Mormoopidae.
GUGCUCGCUUUGGCAGCACAUAUACUAACAUUGGAAUGACACAGAGAAGAUUACCACGCCCCCUGCGCAAUGGACGACACACAGAUUUGUGAAGUGUUCCAUAUUUUU